AGUGAACGCUGGCGGUAGGCCUAACACAUGCAAGUCGAACGGCAGCACAGUAAGAGCUUGCUCUUACGGGUGGCGAGUGGCGGACGGGUGAGGAAUACAUCGGAAUCUACUUUUUCGGGGGGGAUAACGUAGGGAAACUUACGCUAAUACCGCAUACGACCUACGGGUGAAAGCAGGGGAUCUUCGGACCUUGCGCGAUUGAAUGAGCCGAUGUCGGAUUAGCUAGUUGGCGGGGUAAAGGCCCACCAAGGCGACGAUCCGUAGCUGGUCUGAGAGGAUGAUCAGCCACACUGGAACUGAGACACGGUCCAGACUCCUACGGGAGGCAGCAGUGGGGAAUAUUGGACAAUGGGCGAAAGCCUGAUCCAGCCAUACCGCGUGGGUGAAGAAGGCCUUCGGGUUGUAAAGCCCUUUUGUUGGGAAAGAGAAACAGCAGGUUAAUACCCCGCUGUUCUGACGGUACCCAAAGAAUAAGCACCGGCUAACUUCGUG
RNAcentral lists this ribosomal RNA (492 nucleotides) under uncultured bacterium. Its description in RNAcentral is "partial 16S ribosomal RNA". It matches the Rfam family "Bacterial small subunit ribosomal RNA", at positions 29 to 507 of the family's 1533-position model. The record is from RNAcentral.